This 76-nucleotide transfer RNA is filed under the name Anaplasma phagocytophilum. RNAcentral describes it as "transfer RNA-His". It matches the Rfam family "tRNA". From Rfam's summary of the family: Transfer RNA (tRNA) molecules are approximately 80 nucleotides in length. Their secondary structure includes four short double-helical elements and three loops (D, anti-codon, and T loops). Further hydrogen bonds mediate the characteristic L-shaped molecular structure. tRNAs have two regions of fundamental functional importance: the anti-codon, which is responsible for specific mRNA codon recognition, and the 3' end, to which the tRNAs corresponding amino acid is attached (by aminoacyl-tRNA synthetases). tRNAs cope with the degeneracy of the genetic code in two manners: having more than one tRNA (with a specific anti-codon) for a particular amino acid; and 'wobble' base-pairing, i.e. permitting non-standard base-pairing at the 3rd anti-codon position. Lineage: Bacteria; Pseudomonadati; Pseudomonadota; Alphaproteobacteria; Rickettsiales; Anaplasmataceae. The record is from RNAcentral. RNAcentral also lists the same sequence under 19 other names.
GCGGACGUAGCUCAAUCGGUGGAGCGUCAGUUUGUGGCACUGAAGGUCGCCAGUUCGAUCCUGGUCGUUCGCCCCA